GUCUAUGGUCAUAUCACCCUGAAUGCGCUCAAUCUCAUCUGAUCUCAGAAGCUAAGCAGGGUUGGGCCUGGUUAUUACUUGUAUGAGAGAAGUGUUACCCAAAAUU
This 106-nucleotide ribosomal RNA is filed under the name Mesocricetus auratus (golden hamster). The record is from RNAcentral. Lineage: Eukaryota; Metazoa; Chordata; Mammalia; Rodentia; Cricetidae.